Microtus ochrogaster (prairie vole) is the source of this 169-nucleotide small nuclear RNA. Its record names the gene U1. It matches the Rfam family "U1 spliceosomal RNA". Rfam says of the family: U1 is a small nuclear RNA (snRNA) component of the spliceosome (involved in pre-mRNA splicing). Its 5' end forms complementary base pairs with the 5' splice junction, thus defining the 5' donor site of an intron. There are significant differences in sequence and secondary structure between metazoan and yeast U1 snRNAs, the latter being much longer (568 nucleotides as compared to 164 nucleotides in human). The record is from Ensembl. Lineage: Eukaryota; Metazoa; Chordata; Mammalia; Rodentia; Cricetidae.
AAAAUUAUUUCAAUAAAUGCAGCCAUCCCUCGAUCAAGAAAGGGAGUUUUUCCAGGGUGAGGCUUAGUCACUGCAAUGCAGAUCCUCUGACCCUGGGAUUGUCCCCAAAUUUGGGGACCUCUAUUGUGUACUUUGUGGUCGUGGGAGACGGUAUUACAACUUUCGCUAU